GAGGGUGUAGCUCAGUGGUAGAGUGUGUGCUUAGCAUGCAUGGGGUCAUGGAUUCAAUCCCCAGUACCUCCA
Camelus ferus (Wild Bactrian camel) is the source of this 72-nucleotide transfer RNA. It matches the Rfam family "tRNA". From Rfam's summary of the family: Transfer RNA (tRNA) molecules are approximately 80 nucleotides in length. Their secondary structure includes four short double-helical elements and three loops (D, anti-codon, and T loops). Further hydrogen bonds mediate the characteristic L-shaped molecular structure. tRNAs have two regions of fundamental functional importance: the anti-codon, which is responsible for specific mRNA codon recognition, and the 3' end, to which the tRNAs corresponding amino acid is attached (by aminoacyl-tRNA synthetases). tRNAs cope with the degeneracy of the genetic code in two manners: having more than one tRNA (with a specific anti-codon) for a particular amino acid; and 'wobble' base-pairing, i.e. permitting non-standard base-pairing at the 3rd anti-codon position. NCBI's taxonomy places the organism in Eukaryota, Metazoa, Chordata, Mammalia, Artiodactyla, Camelidae. The record is from Rfam.